UACGUAGGGUCCGAGCGUUGUCCGGAAUUAUUGGGCGUAAAGGGCUCGUAGGCGGUUUGUCGCGUCGGGAGUGAAAACUCAGGGCUCAACCCUGAGCGUGCUUCCGAUACGGGCAGACUAGAGGUAUGCAGGGGAGAACGGAAUUCCUGGUGUAGCGGUGGAAUGCGCAGAUAUCAGGAGGAACACCGGUGGCGAAGGCGGUUCUCUGGGCCUUACCUGACGCUGAGGAGCGAAAGCGUGGGGAGCAAACAGG
This 253-nucleotide ribosomal RNA is filed under the name uncultured bacterium. RNAcentral's name for it is "partial 16S ribosomal RNA". It matches the Rfam family "Bacterial small subunit ribosomal RNA", at positions 524 to 776 of the family's 1533-position model. The record is from RNAcentral.